UACGAAGGGUGCAAACGUUGCUCGGAAUCAUUGGGCGUAAAGCGCACGCAGGCGGCAUUCUAAGUCGGAUGUGAAAUCCCUCGGCUCAACCGAGGACGUGCAUCCGAAACUGGAACGCUUGAGUAUGGAAGAGGGUCGCGGAAUUCUCGGUGUAGAGGUGAAAUUCGUAGAUAUCGGGAGGAACACCGGUGGCGAAGGCAGCGACCUGGGCCAAUACUGACGCUGAGGUGCGAAAGCGUGGGGAGCAAACAGG
RNAcentral lists this ribosomal RNA (253 nucleotides) under uncultured bacterium. Its description in RNAcentral is "partial 16S ribosomal RNA". It matches the Rfam family "Bacterial small subunit ribosomal RNA", at positions 524 to 776 of the family's 1533-position model. The record is from RNAcentral.